UGGUAAAGGAAGGAGAAGCAUGAGGUUC
Molecule: non-coding RNA, 28 nt
Filed under: Macaca fascicularis (crab-eating macaque)
Lineage: Eukaryota; Metazoa; Chordata; Mammalia; Primates; Cercopithecidae
Also listed under: 1 other name
Source: RNAcentral